RNAcentral lists this ribosomal RNA (402 nucleotides) under Triticum aestivum (bread wheat). RNAcentral's name for it is "partial small subunit ribosomal RNA". The record is from RNAcentral. Lineage: Eukaryota; Viridiplantae; Streptophyta; Magnoliopsida; Poales; Poaceae.
AUGGCGCGGCGUGCGUGCGUGUGUGCGCGCGCGAUAGGCCGGUGGAUGGUGGUGGUGCGACUGGCGACUUGUCGCCGCGGCCGAUGGGUUCCCACCCGUGUCGGGCCGGGGGCCUCCGGCGAGCGACAGGCAAGCGGCGCGCACCGCGCGUGCGAUCGACAGCGGAGGGACAGAAAGGUCGGCACCUGCCCCACGCAUCAUCAGCAUGGAGCCAUCUCCGUCACCUCCGUCCCCGGUCGUCCCCGGCCUCGUUCCAUUAUUACCAACUCCCGUUUUUCCUUUCCGCCAUCGCCAUGGAUGAUCCAUCCAUCAACCAAGGUCACGACAAAGCUCAGCUGCAUGCACCAACUGGUUGAUCGUCUGAGAGUGUCGCCUGCCGGACAAUUAAUUACCGGCGGGUGA